RNAcentral lists this ribosomal RNA (527 nucleotides) under Pseudomonas sp. Its description in RNAcentral is "bacterial SSU rRNA". It matches the Rfam family "Bacterial small subunit ribosomal RNA", at positions 56 to 580 of the family's 1533-position model. The record is from RNAcentral. Lineage: Bacteria; Pseudomonadati; Pseudomonadota; Gammaproteobacteria; Pseudomonadales; Pseudomonadaceae.
UGCAGUCGAGCGGAUGAGGGAGCUUGCUCCUGGAUUCAGCGGCGGACGGGUGAGUAAUGCCUAGGAAUCUGCCUGGUAGUGGGGGAUAACGUUCCGAAAGGAACGCUAAUACCGCGUACGUCCUACGGGAGAAAGCAGGGGACCUUCGGGCCUUGCGCUAUCAGAUGAGCCUAGGUCGGAUUAGCUAGUUGGUGAGGUAAUGGCUCACCAAGGCGACGAUCCGUAACUGGUCUGAGAGGAUGAUCAGUCACACUGGAACUGAGACACGGUCCAGACUCCUACGGGAGGCAGCAGUGGGGAAUAUUGGACAAUGGGCGAAAGCCUGAUCCAGCCAUGCCGCGUGUGUGAAGAAGGUCUUCGGAUUGUAAAGCACUUUAAGUUGGGAGGAAGGGCUGUAGGCUAAUAUCCUGCGGUUUUGACGUUACCAACAGAAUAAGCACCGGCUAACUUCGUGCCAGCAGCCGCGGUAAUACGAAGGGUGCAAGCGUUAAUCGGAAUUACUGGGCGUAAAGCGCGCGUAGGUGGUU